AAUAGCGGAGGAAAGAACCCAACAGGGAUUGCCCUAGUAACGGCGAGUGAAGCGGCAACAGCUCAAAUUUGAAAGCUGGCUUAGGCCCGCAUUGUAAUUUGCAGAGGAUGCUUUUGGUGAGGUGCCUUCCGAGUUCCCUGGAACGGGACGCCACAGAGGGUGAGAGCCCCGUAUGGAUGGACACCAAACCUGUGUAAAGCUCCUUCAACGAGUCGAGUAGUUUGGGAAUGCUGCUCAAAAUGGGAGGUAAAUCUCUUCUAAAGCUAAAUACCGGCCAGAGACCGAUAGCGCACAAGUAGAGUGAUCGAAAGAUGAAAAGCACCUUGAAAAGGGGGUUAAACAGUACGUGAAAUUGUUGAAAGGGAAGCGCUUGUGACCAGACUUGCGCCGGGCGGCUCAUCAGGGGUUCUCCCCUGUGCACUCCGCCCGGCUCAGGCCAGCAUCGGUUCUCGUGGGAGGAUAAGAACGGUAGGAAUGUGGCCCCCUCUCGGGGGGGUGUUAUAGCCUGCCGUACGAUACUCUCGUGGGGACCGAGGUUCGCGCUCCGCAAGGAUGCUGGCGUAAUGGUCAUCAGCGACCCGUCUUGAAACACGGACCAAGGAGUCGUCCAUUAGAGCGAGCGUUUGGGUGUCAAACCCGCACGCGUAAUGAAAGUGAACGCAGGUGAGAGCUUCGGCGCAUCAUCGACCGAUCCUGAUGUUCUCGGAUGGAUUUGAGUAAGAGUUUUAACGGAACGGACCCGAAAGACAGUGAACUAUGCUUGGUAUAGGGUGAAAGCCAGAGGAAAACUCUGGUGGAGGCUCGCAGCGGUUCUGACGUGCAAAUCGAUCGUCAAAUAUGAGCAUUGGGGGCGAAAGACUAAUCGAACUGUCUAGUACUGGUACGCA
RNAcentral lists this ribosomal RNA (887 nucleotides) under Cytospora sp. Its description in RNAcentral is "partial large subunit ribosomal RNA". It matches the Rfam family "Eukaryotic large subunit ribosomal RNA", at positions 45 to 960 of the family's 3401-position model. The record is from RNAcentral. Lineage: Eukaryota; Fungi; Ascomycota; Sordariomycetes; Diaporthales; Cytosporaceae.